RNAcentral lists this long non-coding RNA (534 nucleotides) under Homo sapiens (human). Its description in RNAcentral is "non-protein coding lnc-AKR1E2-7:9". The record is from RNAcentral. Lineage: Eukaryota; Metazoa; Chordata; Mammalia; Primates; Hominidae.
AGUCUUCUAGCCUUCGCUGAUGGGUUCUGCAUAUGAGUUCAGGCAUGCCUUCAGGACUCCACCAGGCACUUGGUAAUUCUGCCUUAUCCUUCACUUUUUGCUUGAGCAGCGCCGAAAGGAGGGAAAUUUGGACAUGGACACAUAGGGAAGACAGCCAUGUGGAGACAGAGGCAGAGGUGGACCUGCUGCCGCAAAACCACAGGGCGCCAAGUACUGUGGGCCACUGAGAAAACUAAAGGAGAGGAAGGAUUCUUCCCUGGAGCUUUGGAGAGGGUGCGGCCCUACUUUCACCUGGAUUUCAGACUUCAGACUUCCAGAACCAUGAAGGAAUAAGCUCUCUUUGUUUCAAAACCACUCAGUCAAGGCACUUUGUUACAACAGCCUAGGAAACUAAUACAGGAAUUGGUAUUAGUAAAAUCAUUAUUGUUGGCUCAUAUGACCAUACUCAUAGAACUUUUAAGAUAAUAUGUAAAUAAGCAACUAAAACAAAAAGUCAGAAAGCUUUAUGGUGCCAGAUCAAUAUACAAAUAAAUA